This 433-nucleotide ribosomal RNA is filed under the name uncultured bacterium. Its description in RNAcentral is "partial 16S ribosomal RNA". It matches the Rfam family "Bacterial small subunit ribosomal RNA", at positions 29 to 507 of the family's 1533-position model. The record is from RNAcentral.
AACGAACGCUGGCGGCAUGCCUAACACAUGCAAGUCGAACGAGACCUUCGGGUCUAGUGUCGCACGGGUGCGUAACGCGUGGGAACCUGCCCUUAGGUUCGGAAUAACUCCCCGAAAGGGGUGCUAAUACCGGAUAAUGUCUUCGGACCAAUGAUUUAUCGCCUUUGGAUGUGCCCGCGUUGGAUUAGCUCGUUGGUAGGGUAAAAGCCUACCAAGGCGACGAUCCAUAGCUGGUCUGAGAGGAUGAUCAGCCACACUGGGACUGAGACACGGCCCAGACUCCUACGGGAGGAAGCAGUGGGGAAUAUUGGACAAUGGGCGAAAGCCUGAUCCAGCCAUGCCGCGUGAGUGAUGAAGGCCUUAGGGUUGUAAAGCUCUUUUACCCGGGAUGAUAAUGACAGUACCGGGAGAAUAAGCUCCGGCUAACUCCGUG